Molecule: long non-coding RNA, 2987 nt
Organism: Cavia porcellus (domestic guinea pig)
Lineage: Eukaryota; Metazoa; Chordata; Mammalia; Rodentia; Caviidae
Exons: 5
Source: RefSeq, a predicted model, not a curated record
UUAUCUAUUUUUAUUAGUGUUGUCAAUUGUGUAGGGAUAGGGAACCACCACUCCACCUAAAUCGAUGGAGCCCCUGAUGCAGGGAGCAAGUGAAGAUCCUCUCGCCGGGAAGGCAGAGCCCAGAACAGGCGGAUUCCUGGCACACUCACUGACACGCACACCCUGCACUGACAGCAGCAUCCUGGCCAGCUGUCUGGCUGCAGCCAGCCCUUUGGCUAAGGGUGUGAGCUCCGUUAUGUCUCCCAUGUGGCUUCGCCUCUGCCACGUUGGAUAGAUAUCAAUGUCAGACAGGACUAGAAGCUCAGAAAGAAAUCUGAAUAUUCGUGGCUUCACAGGGGAGACCUGAGUGUGUCUCUGUGCCUGGGCUGAAGGGCACCACCCCGCUCUAGGAUGACACCAGGCGGAAGCUGUUCGUAGCUUUACAGUUGUGAACCCUCUGACACUUCCCUGGUCCAUCCGUGAUAGAUGCAUGACACAGGUCACUUGUGACACAGGUCGCUGGGAACUAGGGAGACCAUUGGUACAGGUACUGCUGGCACAUUUCAGGUUCUUAAUGAAGGAAAUCUUCAGAGUCUCAUGAAAGCACCUAUGACACAGGCAGCUUCAAAUCAUCUUGACCCAGUCAGGCUAACGUGCAAACUGCUCAUUGUGCAGGAGUCUUGCAAGCGCCUAGUAGAGACCUUGGAAACACUAACUGGUGAUCCACGAAAUCCAUACCAGCUAUUUCAAGUCAACUAUAACUAGUAAUAAUUACAUGAAAAGCAAGAAAUCUUAGAUGGAUACCAACAAAGGAAACUAGGAACUGAGCGACUGUUGUUCUUCAAAGUAAGACAUUUGAAAACUUGGAAGGCUACACAUUUACCCCAGUGAGGCUAAUAAAAUACAAAUAAUAGAAGCUAAUAGGUACCACGGUUCCCUGCUUCGUUGCAAUUUUACUUCCCAUGGCUUCAGUUACUCAUAUUAAAUAUUAAAUCAGAAAUUCCAGAGUCAAACACCUCAUCAUUUUAAACUGCAUGCCAUUCUGAGAGUGCGACGCAAUCUCAAUGUUGGACCUUCCUGUCUGGAUAUGCUCGCAUCAUCCUGUUGCCCUAGGUAACCUGUGUUGUAUACUCUAUCUCCUCUUCAUCACUGAGCUGUCUUGGCGAUCACAGGGGUCUAUUUGACACAGUACUGUCCCCAAAGCAUAACAGUAGCAGUGCUGGCAAUUUGGGUGUGGCAAGGGGAAGCCAUAAAGUGCUUCUGUUUUGGUGAAAAGUAAAAGGUCUUGUCUUCAUAAGGUUGCCAAUUUUCCUGUUGCUGGAACAAAAUGCCUAACACCUGUACCUUCACCAAGGCCUCUAGGUUCAGAGGUUUCGGUCCAUGGUCAUCUUGCUCCAAGGUAGAGACAUCAUAGCAGGAGGACGUGGUGGGAGAGAGCUACUCACUUCCUGGCCGCAGGAAGUCGAGGGCCUUAGAAAGAAAAAGAGAAGGGGCUGUGGGCCUAAGGCCGUGACCCACUUCCUCCAACGAGACCCCACCUUCUAUGGCCAUUCAACCACGAACCCACCAAUGAGGACCAUCCAAGUACCUCUCCAGAAGUCUUUAUAUCCAGGCAAGUUGACAGUUGAUUGACAUAUUACAAAAUUUUGGUAUGGAUGUUGCUAAGAUUUACCGUAAGAAUGGAUCUUUUAGCCAUGAAAUUAUGAAGGAGGACAAAGAAAUUCAUGCUGCUUUGGUUGUCACAUCUCAAAGUGAAAAAGUUAGGACUACAGGUCAUGGUUCAUGCUUAACACAAAGCAUUUCUAGAUAAGCUGGAAAAGACACUGCGUUCCACACUAUCUGCAGCUUCCAGCAUCCGCUGCCGGGGUAGGGGGGGAUCAGGCGGGGUAGGAGGAGACCUUAGGAUGUAUCCGUGAGGAUAAGAGAGCAACUUCUGCAUUAAGAACUUACCAUGUACCACCGUCUGCAUUGGGUUUGCUCUCCCAACAAACCUGUAAGUCUGGUACUGUUUUAUCAAUGCGGAAACAAAAGCCAGGAAGGAAGGUUAACGUUGAAAUGUUCAAAUGCAUAUACCAAAGUAUUCUUCCUCCUCCUCCACCCUUCCCCUUCUUUCCCAUCUGCUCCUUUUCCUUCUUUACACUGGGCCUUCCCCCAGGCCUUAGCACUGAGCUGAAAAGAUCAGACUCAAACUUGCCAUCCUCCUGCCGAAGGCUCUCAGAGUCCUGGGAUCCAAGGUGCGCGCUAUCACACUGGCUCCCAGUUCUCUUUGACUGUUAAGGGACUCUGCUGAGCUCAUGCCUGGCCCUUUUGGUUCUAAAUACCUUACUGAUUAUGCUGCUCCAUCCUGCCUCCCAGUUCAGCUGGGAAUGGAAAAUAUAGGGACAGGCACACGCAGGGUGGAAAGGACAAAACGCAAGCUUGAACACUGCAGGGCCAAGCCGUUGGACAGAGAUAAAGAAACAUCAGCGUACAGCAUCUGGGGCCUUGGAGACAUGUGUGGUGGCUGCCCAUCACUUGGUGCAAUAUUCUGGCAAGAACCAGGGUUUGUGUUUCGUCUCCGAGGUGGCGCCUGUCUGCGGUUACACCACGGCUCAUUGACCUGGGCACUGAGCAGUCUUUCUUGAGUCUGGGAUGAAAAGAGCCAUAUGAAUGGAACUUUCAUUUACUCCCCAGCCCGCCUGCCCAUCAAGCUUGAGGGCAGAUGUGCAAAUGCCUUCUCUGUUCCCAGGGGAGCCGGAGCCAGCAAUAGCGUCCUUCGAGGAGAAUGCCUUCUUCUCCGCUUGAGUUCCCGCUCUAUCCUCUCCUGGGUCUAUGUUUAGACGGUGAUUUCCUGUGCUCUCCACCGAGAUGGUUCAGAAAUGCCUCCACUUCUCCCUGUUCUUCAUUCUCUUUCUUCUUCAGAACACUGGCUCACAGACAUGCUUAAGUAUGGCCUACUUAUUUAUUUAUUUUAAGCUUUAAAUCUACCAAAGCCUAUUGGUUGCCUUUUAAAUAAAAGUUUGACAAUC